AAAAGACUUAGUCCUAACCUUGCAGUUAGUUAUUGCUACACAUAUACAUGCAAGUAUCCGCGCACCAGUGUAAAUGCCCUCAAUUCCUUAGUGGGAUGAGAGGAGCGGGCAUCAGGCACACCCACAGUCGUAGCCCAAAACGCCUUGCUCAGCCACACCCACACGGGUACUCAGCAGUAGUUAACAUUAAGCAAUAAGUGAAAACUUGACUUAGUUAUAGCAAUACAGGGUUGGUAAAUCUUGUGCCAGCCGCCGCGGUCAUACAAGAGACCCAAAUUAACUGCAGUGCGGCGUAAAGAGUGGAGCCGAACUAUCCUAACAACUAAGAUCAAAGUGCAGCUGAGCUGUCAUAAGCCCAAGAUGCACCUAAGACCGCCAUCAAGAUGAUCUUAGCCCUCCGAUUGACUAAACCCCACGAAAGCUAAGACACAAACUGGGAUUAGAUACCCCACUAUGCCUAGCCCUAAAUCUUGAUAUCCGCCCUACCCGGAUAUCCGCCCGAGAACUACGAGCACAAACGCUUAAAACUCUAAGGACUUGGCGGUGCCCCAAACCCACCUAGAGGAGCCUGUCCUAUAAUCGAUAACCCCCGAUUCACCCGACCGCUUCUUGCCACAGCAGCCUACAUACCGCCGUCGCCAGCUCACCUCCUCUGAGAGCACCGCAGUGAGCACAAUCGCCCUAACCACGCUAGCAAGACAGGUCAAGGUAUAGCCCAUGAAGCGGGAGUGAUGGGCUACAUUUUCUAAUAUAGAAAACUCACGAAAAGGGGUGUGAAACCACCCCUAGAAGGCGGAUUUAGCAGUAAAGCAGGACAAUAGAGCCCCCUUUAAGCUGGCCCUGGGGCACGUACAUACCGCCCGUCACCCUCCUCACAGGCUAUAAACCCCCAUAACUAAUACACCCAUCAGCUGAAGAUGAGGUAAGUCGUAACAAGGUAAGCGUACCGGAAGGUGUGCUUAGCACAUC
This 969-nucleotide non-coding RNA is filed under the name Balaeniceps rex (shoebill). RNAcentral describes it as "12S ribosomal RNA". It matches the Rfam family "Bacterial small subunit ribosomal RNA". The record is from RNAcentral. Lineage: Eukaryota; Metazoa; Chordata; Aves; Pelecaniformes; Balaenicipitidae.